AAUUCUCAACCUUCCAACUUUUAUUAGCUUGGUUAGGCUUGGAUGUGGGGGUUGCGGGCUUCAUUAACGAGGUCGGCUCUCCUUAAAUGUAUUAGCGGAACUUUUGUAGACCGUCUAUUGGUGUGAUAAUUAUCUACGCCGUGGAUGUGAAGCAGCUUUAUGAAGUUCAGCUUCUAACCGUCCCUUGACUUGGACAAUUCUUGACA
This 206-nucleotide unclassified non-coding RNA is filed under the name uncultured Laccaria. RNAcentral's name for it is "sequence contains ITS2". Lineage: Eukaryota; Fungi; Basidiomycota; Agaricomycetes; Agaricales; Tricholomataceae. The record is from RNAcentral.